GUGAAUCAUCGAAUUUUUGAACGCAAAUUGCACUCUCCGGUUUUCCGGGAGAGUAUGCCUGUUUGAGGGUCAGCCUAAAAAAAAUCGACAUUGUUGCUGUUUUAUGGUGACUUUCGUCGGAGAUGGGUUACCUUAAAUCUCGGUUUAAGCGACUUAAAAAUUUUUUUUAGGAUUUUAGGAUGGUUUUUAGGAUUUUUUUUGUAGUUUUAGGUAUU
This 215-nucleotide unclassified non-coding RNA is filed under the name Glomus sp. RNAcentral describes it as "partial contains 5.8S ribosomal RNA and internal transcribed spacer 2". The stretch from base 1 to 72 matches the Rfam family "5.8S ribosomal RNA", at positions 84 to 154 of the family's 154-position model. The record is from RNAcentral. Lineage: Eukaryota; Fungi; Glomeromycota; Glomeromycetes; Glomerales; Glomeraceae.